This 597-nucleotide ribosomal RNA is filed under the name Arthrinium sp. zzz1022. RNAcentral's name for it is "eukaryotic LSU rRNA". The stretch from base 222 to 375 matches the Rfam family "5.8S ribosomal RNA". Lineage: Eukaryota; Fungi; Ascomycota; Sordariomycetes; Amphisphaeriales; Apiosporaceae. The record is from RNAcentral.
CGAGAGGGCUGAUUCCUGCUGACCGAGGGACCAAUAUUACUUAGUUAUACAAAUGCCAUACCAUCUGCUUUCUAUACCCAGUUAUGCCUCGGCGUAAGCUCGGUUGGAGGCACCUGCAGCUACCCUGUAGUUGCGGACUGCCAACUCCAGCCGCGGCCCGCCGGCGGUACACUAAACUCUGUUUUAUUUUAUAUUCUGAGCGUCUUAUUUUAAUAAGUUAAAACUUUCAACAACGGAUCUCUUGGUUCUGGCAUCGAUGAAGAACGCAGCGAAAUGCGAUAAGUAAUGUGAAUUGCAGAAUUCAGUGAAUCAUCGAAUCUUUGAACGCACAUUGCGCCCAUCAGUAUUCUGGUGGGCAUGCCUGUUCGAGCGUCAUUUCAACCCUUAAGCCUAGCUUAGUGUUGGGAAUCUGCUGUACUGCAGUUCCUUAAAGACAGUGGCGGAGCGGCGGUAGUCCUCUGAGCGUAGUAAUUUAUUUCUCGCUUUUGUCAGGCUCUGUCCUCCCGCCAUAAAACCCCCAAUUUUUUAGUGGUUGACCUCGGAUCAGGUAGGAAUACCCGCUGAACUUAAGCAUAUCAAUAACCGGGAGGAACUCCU